UCCCAUUGCACAAGAUGAAUGGCAGUAGCACAAGAGGACAAAUGGACACGUGAUACCUCUUGAGUCAUCCAUCCUGAACACUCCCAAGAAAAUAAGGAAGAUAUUCUGAUUUAAACCACAUCGUUAAACUAGAAGUUCAAUUAAUGAAUUGUAAAGACAGCUGCCAUGCUGUGAAAACACUCAAGCAGUCUCACAGAGUGUUCAAAUGGCAAGGUACUGAGGUGCCCUGGCAACGGCAAGGAACUGAGGCCUUCAUCCAAAGCCAUUAAGUGAGCCAUACUGGAAGCAGGUGCUCCGGUCCCUGGUGGUCUUGAGAUGACAGCAGCUUCAGUGUCUUGACUGCAACCUCAAGAAAGACCUUGAGCCAAAGCCAUCCAGAACAACAGAUGACACGAGAUGUCCCUGCUGGGGAGAAAAACUUGAUGAUCCCAUUGGCAAACCAGCUCCUGAGAUUUGUAUCAAGGCCUCUGCAUCUCACAGCUACCUUGUGUCUCCUCUAUUGAAAAGCUGCUGGGACUUUCAGAGACAUUCUACUAAUGGCAAGUUCUGAGAAGGAAAACAAAAAGAUGCCUUAGUUCCAUGGAAGGCUGCUCUGAGGGAUAUUCUGCUAAGUGGCAUCCAGACAGAACACGGAGAAGCUCCUCGAUUGCGUCUCUCCCCUGCCUUAUUGUUUCCUGCUGCCCUUGACACUCCACUGUUUGGGCUAUUGCAAGGUUAGAAGGAUGCUCACGACCAACGAGACAGAGUCCUUUGCAUAUGGCCUUGAGGAUGUGUGCUUCUGAAAUCUAACAAAGUUUCGCUCUUGUUGCACAGGCUGGAGUGCAAUGGCACGAUCUUGGCUCACCUCCUCCUCUGCGUCCUGUGUUCAAGCGAUUCUCCUGCCUCUCCUGGGAUUACGGGCAUGUGCCACCAUGCCCGGCCAAUUUUGAACACAGACAGCCUGCGUCCAGAAUCCCUGCUCUUUCCCUGUAUACCACAUGGCCUCCUGUGCACGAUCCAGAGGAGACAUCCAGGUGUUGGAUACAUGGGCCCGGGGUGCAGCAGAAAAGCAUUGCCCCAGUGCACAGCCAUAUCCAUAUGCCGUUGGCGCAUGGAUUGGAACAAAACCAUGGAACUCGAUGAAGGUAUGGCCUAAGAAGAUCAAGAAGCUAAGGAGGACCAGCAUUAUAGGGUGGGCCAGAAGAGUAGAUCCAACAAGUGUUAACCUAUGGGAGAAUGUCAGGGUAAAGCAGGUUGUCAACAUGACCCUAUGCCAUAGAGACAUCAGGGCUGAUUAAUGUAUCAGAGAAAGACAGAGAGAGUAAAGGAGAGAGAGACUGAUAUGGUUUGGCUGUGUCCCCACCCAAAUCUCAUCUUGAAUUGUAAUCCCCAGGAUUGCCACAUAUCAAGGGGGAGGGAUCCAGUGGGAGGUUAUUGGAUCAUGGAGGUGGUUUCCCCAUGCUGUUCUCGUGAUAGUGAGUGAGUUCUCAUGAGAUCCGAUGGUUUUAUAAGGCAGUUUUCCCUGCUCUUGCACGCUGUCUCUGUCUCCUGCCAUCAUGUAAGACAUGCCUCUUCCCCUUCUGCCAUGAUUGUAAGUUUCCUGACAUCUCCCCAGCCAUGGGGAACUGAGUCAGUUAAAUCUCUUUUCUUUAUAAAUUGCUCAGUCUCAGGUAGUAUCUUUAUAGCAAUGUGAGAAUGGAGUAAUACACAGGCUCAGAAAAGUUCCUUGCAUUUGGCAAUUGAGAGAAUAAUGGGAUGAUGACUUCUGUCAGAAAAGUUUGUGAUCAGGAGGUGGGGGUGGAAUUCUGACUUGGGUGGGCCAGAGGAACUCAACGGUGGAAAAAUAAGUGGUGACAUCAUAAAUUGACACCUGUGAGAGAUGGCGGAUGAACUGAAUAAAGUGUAGGGUAUUUAGCUUGUCAUGAUUGUCCCUGAGAAACAGGUUGCAGGAAUGCUACUUGCAUUGAAUAAUUUUAUUAGUUAUCAUUUAAUUCCUUUAAAUUGAUUUCUUUAGUUCCCUAUCAGAGACAAGCUCAAACUACACACAAUGAAUACAUCACGGACUUCUCCUUCUCUUUAUUUCGCUUCACUCUGGGCAAAUGAAAGACAACAAAUAAAUAUUGUGGAUCUUGGUA
RNAcentral lists this long non-coding RNA (2114 nucleotides) under Homo sapiens (human). RNAcentral describes it as "HSALNT0374680". The record is from RNAcentral. Lineage: Eukaryota; Metazoa; Chordata; Mammalia; Primates; Hominidae.